This is a long non-coding RNA of Rhodamnia argentea, 243 nucleotides long. RefSeq lists it as uncharacterized. The transcript has 2 exons. The record is from RefSeq and is a predicted model, not a curated record. NCBI's taxonomy places the organism in Eukaryota, Viridiplantae, Streptophyta, Magnoliopsida, Myrtales, Myrtaceae.
CAGAUGUUGAGACGGAGAUGGGAGACUUCGGUUAGACAGGGUAUGGAAAGGCUUAAAGGGACUUGGGAGAAAACAACACGAAAAGAGAUGGAGCAUCUAGAGCUUAGAAGGAUUCAAGUAGCUGAUCCCACCUUGUGGGAAAGGCUUAGUUUUCAGCUAUGACUGAUAGCAAGGCCUAUCACAUCGAUGUGGAAUUACAUGAGUAAGAUUGUCGAAAUCCAGCCCAAAAAAGUUAACAGACUA